Molecule: ribosomal RNA, 601 nt
Filed under: Myxosporea environmental sample
Lineage: Eukaryota; Metazoa; Cnidaria; Myxozoa
Description: bacterial SSU rRNA
Rfam family: Eukaryotic small subunit ribosomal RNA
Source: RNAcentral
GGUAACGAGAAAUACUAGAUAGUUUCCUAACGGAUGCUAUACUGGAAUGGACGUAAUUUAAGAAAUUCGAUGAGUAACAACUGGAGGGCAAGUCUGGUGCCAGCAGCCGCGGUAAUUCCAGCUCCAGUAGUGUAUCUUAAAGUUGCUGCGUUUAAAACGCUCGUAGUUGGAUUACGCAGCAUAAUCUAGUAGAUUUGCUCGAUGCUACACUAAAUUCAGCUAUUGGUGGUUGCUGCUAUGGUUUAUCCUGGUAGUCGCCAUCAGUGGUUGAAGUGGUACGAGCAAAUUAACAGCUAGUUUAUGCUACUUUUUCGUGAGGAUGGCAGUUGACCUUUAAUGUGUUGAUUGUCGUGUCUUACGAAGCGUGCCUUGAAUAAAUCAGAGUGCUCAAUACAGGCUUUAGCUUGAAUGUCGAUAGCAUGGAACGAACAAUUGUGUUAAAUGUGUCUUGUUCAGCUUCUAGGUUGAUUUAUAUUGGCCUAGAAAUCCUGUUCAACUCACAGCACCAACCACCAUUAUCGGAUGUUGGUUUCCGUGAUGGGGUGAUGAUUAAAAGGAGCGGUUGGGGGCAUUGGUAUUUUGCCGCGAGAGGUGAAAUUAA